CUCUAGCAUGAAGUCAGACAAGUGAACCCGCUGAAUUUAA
Molecule: ribosomal RNA, 40 nt
Filed under: Cladocopium sp. clade C
Lineage: Eukaryota; Dinophyceae; Suessiales; Symbiodiniaceae
Description: partial 28S ribosomal RNA
Source: RNAcentral